UACGUAGGGUGCAAGCGUUGUCCGGAAUUAUUGGGCGUAAAGAGCUCGUAGGCGGUCUGUUGCGUCGGCUGUGAAAACCCGGGGCUCAACUCCGGGCCUGCAGCCGAUACGGGCAGACUAGAGUUCGGCAGGGGAGACUGGAAUUCCUGGUGUAGCGGUGAAAUGCGUAGAUAUCUGGAGGAAUACCGGUGGCGAAGGCGGCAUCCUGGACCGACAUUGACGCUGAGGAGCGAAAGCUAGGGGAGCAAACGGG
Molecule: ribosomal RNA, 253 nt
Filed under: uncultured bacterium
Lineage: Bacteria
Description: partial 16S ribosomal RNA
Rfam family: Bacterial small subunit ribosomal RNA
Source: RNAcentral